This 72-nucleotide transfer RNA is filed under the name Paenibacillus oceani. It matches the Rfam family "tRNA". Rfam says of the family: Transfer RNA (tRNA) molecules are approximately 80 nucleotides in length. Their secondary structure includes four short double-helical elements and three loops (D, anti-codon, and T loops). Lineage: Bacteria; Bacillati; Bacillota; Bacilli; Caryophanales; Paenibacillaceae. The record is from Rfam by way of RNAcentral.
GGGGUUAUAGUUCAGUGGGAGAACGCUUCGCUGGCAGCGAAGAGGUCAGGGGUUCGACCCCCCUUAACUCCA